This is a long non-coding RNA of Hyla sarda, 1022 nucleotides long. RefSeq lists it as uncharacterized. NCBI's taxonomy places the organism in Eukaryota, Metazoa, Chordata, Amphibia, Anura, Hylidae. The transcript has 3 exons. The record is from RefSeq and is a predicted model, not a curated record.
AGAAGUUUUCAGUAACAACAGUUUAUGGCUGGGAUUCCACUUUAGUUUUUGAGCCAAAGCCAGCAAUGUAUUGAAAAGGAAUGGGAAAUAUAAGGAAGGACUUAUUCUUUGCCUUUCUUAUUGAACCUACAUCUGGCUUUGGCUCACUGGCAAGUGGAAUCCCAGUCUAAGGGAUUAUUGAGCAGCUUUCUCAUUAAAACAAUCACCAAACGCGUUUCAGGGAAAGGGGUCAGGCUAUACCUUACUAUACCCAGAAAUGCGUUUGGUGAUUGUAUUUAAUGAGAAAGCGGCUAUCCAGGCUUGAUCCUUAUACACACAAAUACAAGUGUUUUUUGAAGUACGCCACUGAGACUUUUUUACACCUGCGGAGAAUUACUGGACCCAGAGGAAAUAGGCAGCGCACGCCCCAUACCUGGUCAGAUGAUCUGCAGUUAGCUGACCGCAACUUCCAGCAAGCUCGCCAGCGUGUGCAGCCGCAUUGAACAUCAUAAGCCGCCACCGGCUGGAGCGAGAGGGCACGCAGCCACAGGCAGGAGCUGAACCGGUCGACGUGGAGUGGCGAGUAGCACAGAGUGCCAGUAGCAUCAAGUUUUCUCUCGCAGGUGGACUAAAGUGCUGAUACCAGUUAGUUACAUGCAGAUCAUUUUUUAUUACAGAUGGAAUAUAUCGCCGCAAACUAGUCAUUUAUGUGAAUGAUUAAGGCUCAGUGUUUGAAAUUUAAGUGCAACAUUUUCUUUGUACAGGUGAUAUGAACCCAUAAUCCUAGUGUGUUACAUAUACACACAGAGUGUGUGACAAGCCAUGAUUGUAUUGUUUUGUUGUAUGCCUUUAUAUAGUACACCGCAAAGGCCCUGUGGAGGCAAUUUUAGUAGGAGCAGAUAUUCCGUCUUUCUCAUAUAAUUUGUGUUUCAUUAAUAUUUUGCAUUUUAUUAUUAUUUAAUAUUUGAUAUGGUUUAGCUGGCUUCAUGUAAUUAUCUCACCAUAUACCCACCACACCCUCAGCAUUCUGACUGACUGAGACA